GAGUGAGCGGCAAAAGCUCAAAUUUGAAAUCUGGCACCUUCGGUGUCCGAGUUGUAAUUUGAAGAUUGUAACCUUGGGGUUGGCUCUUGUCUAUGUUUCUUGGAACAGGACGUCACAGAGGGUGAGAAUCCCGUGCGAUGAGAUGCCCAAUCCUAUGUAAGGUGCUUUCGAAGAGUCGAGUUGUUUGGGAAUGCAGCUCUAAGUGGGUGGUAAAUUCCAUCUAAAGCUAAAUAUUGGCGAGAGACCGAUAGCGAACAAGUACAGUGAUGGAAAGAUGAAAAGAACUUUGAAAAGAGAGUGAAAAAGUACGUGAAAUUGUUGAAAGGGAAGGGUUUGAGAUCAGACUCGAUAUUUUGUGAGCCUUGCCUUCGUGGCGGGGUGACCCGCAGCUUAUCGGGCCAGCAUCGGUUUGGGCGGUAGGAUAAUGGCGUAGGAAUGUGACUUUGCUUCGGUGAAGUGUUAUAGCCUGCGUUGAUGCUGCCUGCCUAGACCGAGGACUGCGAUUUUAUCAAGGAUGCUGGCAUAAUGAUCCCAAACCGCCCGUCUUGAACCACGGACCAAA
RNAcentral lists this ribosomal RNA (562 nucleotides) under Meyerozyma caribbica. Its description in RNAcentral is "eukaryotic LSU rRNA". It matches the Rfam family "Eukaryotic large subunit ribosomal RNA", at positions 91 to 670 of the family's 3401-position model. Lineage: Eukaryota; Fungi; Ascomycota; Pichiomycetes; Serinales; Debaryomycetaceae. The record is from RNAcentral.